GAUGAACGCUGGCGGCGUGCCUAAUACAUGCAAGUCGAGCGAACAGAUGAGGAGCUUGCUCCUCUGACGUUAGCGGCGGACGGGUGAGUAACACGUGGAUAACCUACCUAUAAGACUGGGAUAACUUCGGGAAACCGGAGCUAAUACCGUAUAAUAUAUUGAACCGCAUGGUUCAAUAGUGAAAGACGGUUUUGCUGUCACUUAUAGAUGGAUCCGCGCCGCAUUCGCUAGUUGGUAAGGUAACGGCUUACCAAGGCAACGAUGCGUAGCCGACCUGAGAGGGUGAUCGGCCACACUGGAACUGAGACACGGCCCAGACUCCUACGGGAGGCCGCAGUAGGGAAUCCUCCGCAAUGGGCGAAAGCCUGACGGAGCAACGCCGCGUGAGUGAUGAAGGUCUUCGGAUCGUAAAACUCUGUUAUUAGGGAAGAACAAAUGCGUAAGUAACUAUGCACGUCUUGACGGUACCUAAUCAGAAAGCCACGGCUAACUACGUG
This 497-nucleotide ribosomal RNA is filed under the name uncultured bacterium. Its description in RNAcentral is "partial 16S ribosomal RNA". It matches the Rfam family "Bacterial small subunit ribosomal RNA", at positions 28 to 507 of the family's 1533-position model. The record is from RNAcentral.